RNAcentral lists this long non-coding RNA (800 nucleotides) under Homo sapiens (human). Its description in RNAcentral is "HSALNT0032142". Lineage: Eukaryota; Metazoa; Chordata; Mammalia; Primates; Hominidae. The record is from RNAcentral.
AAAAAAUUCAAAGUCAAAUCCCUUCUCACCAAGUGGACAGACAGUGUGCAGUAAGCCUCAACUGGGCCUUCCUUAGAGGAUGCAGAGAUUUCUUUGGAAGGGAAGAACAAAGUCAAUGAAUGAAAAUUAUUUGCUCCUGUUUGUUUUACAAAACUAGCAAGGGAAUAGGGGAGCUGGGCUUUCAUUGCCAUUCUCAAAAAAGAAAAAAAAAAAAGAGAAUUCUCAGGGAAUGAGCAACAGCUCUCAACUGUGCCUCUUUUUCUUGCUUUUGCUAACAUCCACUGUAGCCUCUCCAGGGCUCUCUCUGUGCUUGGGGAGUAAUGCAUGAAAAUCCUUCUGCCUCCAGAAGAAAAUAUGGUCUUCUCUUCUUUGCCUGGUUUGAAGGAGACACUUUGAGAGCCUCACCCAAAUGGCUGGAUUCCUCAAAAUAAACCAAUGGAGCAAAACAGCAGUACCUGGAAAAGCUUGAGUGCUUGCGGCUGGGACAAAAUUUCAGACAGAUUCAGUUGAUGUACAACUGAAGAUACAGCCUUAAAACUGGAAGGAAAACCAUGGAAUGCAAAGGGACACAUUAGCAUGUAAAGCCUGGUGCCUGCUCAUCUGCAGAUGAAAGGUCACAAAGAAGAUAUUUGCAACGAGGAACAGCAAGUUGUGACCACUCUCCAGAUCUGUACCCGUCAGACAGAGGUUGACACCUGUGACAGGUACAUUCUGAUUUCCACAUGCCUUGUGCAAAAUCAGACGUGCUCACAACAGCAUGGCAGCCAAAUGUCAAGUACUUCACCUCUCAGCAUGGAGAC